UGUCUCUGUAGCUCAGUAGGAUAGAGCAACUGCCUCCUAAGCAGUAGGUCGGAGGUUCGAAUCCUCUCAGGGACGG
This 76-nucleotide transfer RNA is filed under the name Tetragenococcus koreensis. Its description in RNAcentral is "tRNA-Arg". It matches the Rfam family "tRNA". Rfam says of the family: Transfer RNA (tRNA) molecules are approximately 80 nucleotides in length. Their secondary structure includes four short double-helical elements and three loops (D, anti-codon, and T loops). Lineage: Bacteria; Bacillati; Bacillota; Bacilli; Lactobacillales; Enterococcaceae. The record is from RNAcentral.